Molecule: long non-coding RNA, 228 nt
Filed under: Ananas comosus (pineapple)
Lineage: Eukaryota; Viridiplantae; Streptophyta; Magnoliopsida; Poales; Bromeliaceae
Description: long non-coding RNA (ACOM_LNC042220)
Source: RNAcentral
AUGAUGUUGCUGUUUUUGGGAGAGAAAUUGGUUUUUGUUAGCUUGAUUACAUGACUUUAAUUGUUUCAUAUUUAGUUUUUGAUUGAUCAAUGUCAAUGCUAUUCUCUAUUGUCAUCAUUUUUGAACGAUUAAAUCGUUGCAAUUCUGUUUAGCAUACUGAAUCAAAUUCAACACCUCAUGCUUCGAACUUUGAAUGUUGCAAUUGUUUGUUUGAUUAUUAGUUAUGAG